Molecule: unclassified non-coding RNA, 208 nt
Filed under: Hevea brasiliensis (rubber tree)
Lineage: Eukaryota; Viridiplantae; Streptophyta; Magnoliopsida; Malpighiales; Euphorbiaceae
Source: RNAcentral
UGUGCCGAGCGCGCCGUAAGCGACCGGCGCGGUGUUGGCGAUCAGGGACAGACCCGAAGCGGCCAGCGGCGAGAAGCCGAGACCGAUCAGGACCGCGCCGGUGAUCGCCACCGGUGCCGGAUGCGCCUUCAAAGAAGGCGCCGAACGAGAAAGCGAUCAGCAGCAACUGAAUGCGCCGGUCGGUGGUGACGCCGCCGAUUGCCCGCUG